UACGUAGGGUGCAAGCGUUGUCCGGAUUUAUUGGGCGUAAAGAGCGUGUAGGCGGCUGGGUAGGUCCGCUGUGAAAACUCGAGGCUUAACCUCGAGACGUCGGUGGAAACCAUCCAGCUAGAGUCCGGAAGAGGAGAGUGGAAUUCCUGGUGUAGCGGUGAAAUGCGCAGAUAUCAGGAAGAACACCCGUGGCGAAAGCGGCUCUCUGGGACGGUACUGACGCUGAGACGCGAAAGCGUGGGGAGCGAACAGG
RNAcentral lists this ribosomal RNA (253 nucleotides) under uncultured bacterium. RNAcentral's name for it is "partial 16S ribosomal RNA". It matches the Rfam family "Bacterial small subunit ribosomal RNA", at positions 524 to 776 of the family's 1533-position model. The record is from RNAcentral.